Molecule: non-coding RNA, 72 nt
Organism: Nematostella vectensis (starlet sea anemone)
Lineage: Eukaryota; Metazoa; Cnidaria; Anthozoa; Actiniaria; Edwardsiidae
Source: Rfam
GCCGUGAUCGUAUAGUGAAUACAACAUUGCGUUGUGGCCGCAAUAACCCAGGUUCAAAUCCUGGUCACGGCA